CGGUAGAAUUAAAAUAUAAACUUCUGGGUGUCCAAAGAAUCAAAAUAGAUGUUGAUAUAGAAUUGGGUCACCCCCUCCUGCAGGGUCAAAGAAUGAUGUAUUUAAAUUUCGAUCUGUUAAUAAUAUAGUAAUAGCUCCUGCUAAAACUGGAAGUGAAAGAAGGAGAAGUAAUGCUGCAAUAGCUACAGAUCAUACAAAUAAAGGUGUUUGAUCUAAAGUUAUACUUUCUGAUCGUAUAUUAAUUGCUGUUGUAAUGAAAUUCACUGCACCAAGAAUAGAUGAUACACCUGCUAAGUGCAGUGAAAAAAUAGCUAGAUCUACAGAUGCACCCCCGUGUGCAAUAGCUCCUGCUAGAGGAGGGUAAACUGUUCAUCCUGUACCAGCACCAUUAUCUACUAUAGAAGAUGUAAGAAGAAGGGUUAGUGAAGGUGGUAGUAAUCAAAAACUUAUAUUAUUUAUUCGUGGAAAUGCUAUAUCUGGUGCACCAAUUAUUAGUGGAACAAGUCAAUUACCAAAUCCACCAAUUAUAAUAGGUAUUACUAUAAAGAAAAUUAUUACGAAUGCGUGAGCUGUAAUAAUAACAUUAUAAAUCUGGUCAUCCCCAAUUAGAGGUCCGGGUUGGCCAAGUUCAGCACGAAUAAGUAUUCUUAUUGAUGUUCCUACUAUUCCUGCUCAUGCUCCAAAUAUGAAGUAUAAAGUACCAAUGUCCUUAUGGUUUGUUGAGAAUAAUCAUUUUUGCA
Molecule: long non-coding RNA, 740 nt
Organism: Schistocerca gregaria
Lineage: Eukaryota; Metazoa; Arthropoda; Insecta; Orthoptera; Acrididae
Exons: 2
Source: RefSeq, a predicted model, not a curated record